CGCGCUCCCGCGAGGGGAUACACUUUCUAUCGGGGGUAACUACUUUGGCACGACACCUGUCGUGAACUGGUGUUGAGGUUGUGAUGACGGAUGGACGACCUGGACACCUGUAGUUUUCCACCUGAAUCUAGACAGACUUGCCGCUGUUUUCUUCGUUAAUUCGUGGUACUUUGCGGGGGUCAGGGCUUUGAGUUGGAAUCCAGAAGAGCAGAGAUAUAAAGAGAAACACUGGAACUUCCUGCAGGCUUUCCAGACACUCACAAAAGAUAUGACAACUUUCUGUUUCAUGGAUGGAGAGCCACAGCCCAGAUGGACCUGAAGCCUUGAAUGUGCAGCUGAAGUUUGAUCAACCAGCUGGUUUGGACCUGAGAACAGUGACAUUGAAAGACCUGCUUUUGUGUUUUUGUUGAAUGUAUCCUUUGGGCCUCAUUGGGUUGUUAACUGUCAAACCACAAUAUAAGUAUUUAUUUUUUGCAGUAAGCUCUGUAGCCUGUUUGUCAUUACUGUUGUCCAUCUUGUUGACUUAUCUUCUACUUUUUACUAUUGUUUUACUAACUCCACAUACUAGACACACGUCUACCCAUUCCGGAGCAGUUUUUGUUGUGUGCAGAGAUGAAAGUUUUCCGGGUUUUCCCGGAAAUCCGGGAUUUCAAAUUUUGUGAGUUCAUUUCCGGGAAUCUGGGAAAAUUGGUCGAAGUUUUCAGUGAAAAUCAGAAUUUGAUUGAUAGUAUUCUUUUUGAAAAUUUUAUUCUUAUCGCUAAUGCGUUGUUUGUUGUUUAUAUUCCUGUACGGAGGCAGCCAUUUUGAAUCUCGUUCAUUGACGCGAUUCCAAUCUAAUGCUGAAUACAUUGCUGCGAGAAUUUGCGAGAGCGGAUGCACUGAAUAGCGCCAGUUUUGAGUACAAAGGAGAGAUUAAUCAUUGAAUAGCGCUCAUUGAAUAGACGACCUUUGCUUUUGUGUAACUGUAAUGACCCGUACCUGUCAGGACAAUGUUUAAACAGCUAGACAGGCACGCUGACGUGCGUGCUAUAGACGCGACAGUCAAGAACGCGUUCCGGUGGUCGUGGUUAGAAGAGAAAGAUACGAACGGCGAUUUCUUGUCUGAAUAUAUCAGGAAAUUAGACAAACCAGGUACGUUUUUUUUAAAUUUUACAAAAAUAGAUAUCAAUAUAUUGAUAGUUUACUGUGUCUUAAGAUAAGAUAAAGAUAAGAUAAAGUUCUUUAUUUCUCCCCACUCCAGGGGAAAUUUACAUUGUUACAGCAGCUUAUGUAACAGGAGACAUAGUGAUAAGAAUAAAAUAAUAAUAGAACAAUAGUAAUAAUAUUUACAAUAUAUACAAGGGUGACAGAUGAGGGUAAAGUGGCUUAACAGUAAAAAUAAAAAUAAAGUUUAAAAGUGUCUGAAUAUAUCAGGAAAUUAGACAAACUAGGAACUUUUUUUUUUAUUUUACAAAAAUAGACCUCAAUUUUUUCAUAUUUUUGAGUGAAUAGAUAUCAUUUGUGCAUGCUUUUGAUAAGAUAGACUCCAUUGAAGAUCUAUAUUUGGUCAUUUUUAAAUUUUUAUCUUCAUUGAAUAUUGCGUGGUCAUUUUGAUUUUUUAUAUAUAUUUUUAUUGUUAAUAAAGACUAUAAUGCUAUGUUAAUUUAAUUGUAACAAUGACACUAUUAUAAUUUAUUAUUCGGCUCUCGCAUAAGGCUGCCUUCGGCAGCCUCUUGGAGCACCUUCGGCGCUCACUUGGCAAAGUUGCUUAGAAAAAAAACUUUCAGGGUUUUUUGCCAACAGCCACUUUCAUCUCUAUGUGUGGUGGCCUGCACUGUCCUGCUAGGGGAGGUUGGUGGCAUCAGGGAGUGUGCUUGGUCUGGAACAACGUGUAGGUAGGUGAUACAUGUCAAAUUAACAUCCACAUGAAAUAGAUUGGAAGCUUUGUGGUCAUUAUACUGCAGUGCAAGACAGCAAUACAACUCUAUUUUGAAAGCACCCUUUCAGUAAAAAAAAACAACAAACAAAUAGUCCAUUAAAAGACAUUCUCAAUACAGAUUAAAACAUCAAGACAUUUUGUAAGUUAAUAUGUAAAAGUGCAAUGUUUAAAGUGCGAGGUGUGGUAGCAGGAAAAAAAGUUAAAUAAAUUGCACAUCUAAACAGUGUGAACAGCUCAAUCAGCCAGUUUCAAUAUAUGUUUGUGUGAGUGGAGGGUGAGGGAUCCAGCCAUGUUCAAAAGUUUAACAGCCUGGUAAAAAGGCUGUUUUUAGUCUUGUUGAUUGUGUGUACUGUCCUGUAUCUCCUGCCAGAUGGGAGAGUAGAGGGGAUGUGGGAGGCCCUGCGCUUACACCAGGUCUGGUAAAUGUCCCCAGUAGAUGGCAGCAGAGUCCCAGUAAUGAUGUGGGCUCUUUUAUUGAACCAUUGCAGAGCCUUUUGGUCCUUCUUGGUGGAGCUGGAAAACCAUAAUGCAGCAUGGUAGGAUGCUCUCCAUUGUCCACCUGCAGAAGUAGACCAGAGGGCUCUGUGGCAGACUGACUCUCCUGAGCUUUCUCAGGACAAAGAGGCACUGCUGAACCUUCCCAAUAGUUGUGGUGGUUUGUAUGGACCAAGACACUUCUUCAGUGAUGUGUGUCACCUGAAUUCUAAAACUGGAGACUCUUUCCAUAGCCUCACCAUCUGGCUAUGUAUCUCAGAAAUGUUGUUAACAUUAGUGACAUUUUUAGUGCAGAAGUUACUGAAUAACAAUACAGAAGAGGUGCACUGUGUGCUGAGGUAAAUUUAUCAUUAACUUAUUUAAACUUUUCUUUUAUUCUGUAUUUUCCCCACUGAGAAACAUGAUUACAGUUGAGGUAACUUGCUUCCCUUAGGAUGCACAUUUUAUCCUCUUCUCCUUUCAGUUUCCAUUACGUGAGUUAAGUAGAAACUGUACCAUAAAGUGAAACCUUUGAAGGCGAGUGUGUACGUAUUAGCUGUCCACUCAGCCCACGCUGCAGUCAGCUGAUCCUUCAUCAUACUGUGUUCCUGCAGAAACUGCAAUAAGUUUUAAGGGUUAUAAGGGUUCUUCUGGGAAAAUACCAUUAAACCAACCUUUUAGGUAAAUGUUCCAGGAUGUUGGGUAGAAUAUACCAUCAGAUAAACCUUUUAGGUCUACAUUGGAAGAUUUUAGAGUAGAAUAUUCCUCCAAACCAUCCUUUAGGUCUACAUUUAAGGUGGAAUACUCCUUUACACCAAGAUUUUUUUGGUCUACAUUGAAGGAUUUUAGGUGGAAUAUUCCUUUGAACAAACUUUUUAAGUUUAUGUUCAAUGAUGUUGGGAGGAAUAUACCAUCAGACCAACCUCCAAGGUCUACAGUAGUGAAUUUUAGGUAGAAUAUACCAUUAAACUCACCUUUUAGGUCUACAUUGGAGGAUUUUAGGUGGAAUUUUCUUUCAAAUCGUCUUUUAGUCUACAUUUAAGGAUGUUUAGGAUGGUAUAUUCUUCCAAACCAACUUCUCAGGUCUACAUUUCAGGUGGAAUAUUCCUCCAUACUAACUUUUUUGGUCUACAUUGAAGGAGUUUUUCUAAACCACCCUGUUCGGGUCUAUAUUUGAGGUUUUAGGUGGAAUAUUCCUUUUAACCAGCCCCUCAGGUCUCUUUGAGGAUUUUAGAUAGAAUACUCAGUUAAACCAACAUUUUAGGUGCAUAUCCAAGGAUUUUUGGUGGAAUGUUCCUUUAAGGUGGAUGUUUGAGGACCUUGUAGGUGGAAUACUUCCUGAAACCAACCUUUUAGGUCAACAUUCAAAGAUUUAGGGUGGAAUAUUCCUUUAAACCAACCAAAUUUCAUGUUUUGCUCAUUAUCAAGUGAGAAACCUCAAUCCAGACUCCUCAUAAUGACGUUUGACAUUUAUGCUGCUGUUAUUUGUUUAGUCCAGACUAAAUGACAGAAAUCCACAACUGUAAUUUUAUUUCAGGACUCAGUUAUUUAAUGUCAAAACAAUCCAUGUGACUCUAAAAACUCAACAGCUUUACAAACUCUAAGAUUAAACUCUCCACAAGGAUCCAAAAUAAGUUGGACUUCUACAUGAGAGCUUUAAUUAUUCUUCAUCUACUUCCUGAAAAGUUUGGUCAAUAAAAAAGACAAAAACUAAUAUUUUCAGCUGAACUAAAGACAGAUUUUGUGUUUUUUCUGCUCACAUGUUGUGUUGUAAACUUCCUCUUUCAAAUAAAUAUCCUCCUAACCCCCUGGAAACCAGCGUUUGUCCUGUUUUUGUGUUGCUCCUCAGCGACCCUAGACAGCAACACACCAUACUAUGACGUUUUUACAAUGAUGGUUCUACUAUGGAACCAGUUUGACAUGUUCAGGUGUUCUUUGUGUGAAAACUCAGCGAUUUCAGGGUAUCAGAAGGUGGUUUUCAACUUUCUUUGUUAACUUUCUGCUUCAACUUUAAAUUAAAUUUCCUUCACUAACCCCGCCCUCUGUACUUCCAGUAAGCUGUGUUCCUAUUGGCUGUCCAGGUGGCUGCUUGGUGUUAUCAGGAACACCUGAGCAGCUUGGUGUUAUCAGGAACACCUGAGCAGCUCAGUGUCUUCCUGCUUCAUUUAGCUGCAGUCAAACAUUUCCUCUGUUUCUCUUCACCACUGAUCCGAGUUUGGCUCCAUUGCUUUAGUUUGUUUUUUAGGCGUUGGCUUGCAGCUUCCAGCAGUAAAAUUGUCUUUAACGUGUUUCUUAAUGUGUUUUAGGGCUUUGUACUGGAUAGUUGUCUUGGUAAAUGUGGUUCUUUAGCCACAGUUAGCACAUGGUGCUAAUGUGUGCAGUGAUUAGUGGAUUUGGUGCAGCUGAGUUGUGUCUUUAUCUUGGCUGUAGUGAGUCUUUAGAGGUUUUUGGUCAGACACAUUCUGUAUUCUUGUGAACCAGCGUUGGUUGUCCAGAAGGUAAGAGUUCCUGUCCUGAUUCUCUGUUCUCAGAGGUUCUCUGGUAGGCUGCAGGAGACUUUAGUGUUUGGGUUGUGCUAGUUUGGUUUUUGUAUGGUUUCAUUUGGACGACUAUCUUGAGGCCCCUCCAUGUGGUUUAGUGAGGUUUUCUGGAACAGUUCUACAAAGCAACCUGCAGCAGAAGAGACUUUGAGAGUUUUUAGGAAGUUCUGGAGACCAGACUUUAGAGCAGCAGAAACAUUUGUCAGCAGUUUGAGCAGGAGAAGGUGAGCUUCAGAGUAGAAAUGAGACAGAAACCUUCUUGACCCGUGUGGUGAGGUCCUGUACCAAGAGUUUGAGCAGGUUGUGAAGAGUCUGUAGUUCUUUGGUCUGAAAACACAAGAAGAGUCGACUCAUUAAAGGAGAAAACAGGAGAUAUUGUUGGUUCUUCUGUCGCUCUGCAGUUUCCAGUUUCCUUAGACUGAAUAUCAAGUUUAUAUUUUAAAUGAUUUCCCAUGUGAGCCCAAGAAGACUUCAAUAAACUCCCUCCAUCCCCUGGACACGACAUAUUUUAUUAUGAUGUUAAAUCUUUUUUUUUUUAGAUAUGUUUUUGAGUUUUAAUCAUAGUUUUAGCAUAGUUUUUUCUCUUUGCUUGUUUAGUUUUGUCAUCUGUGUGAAAGCUGCUAAACAAAUAAAGUUGAAUUGAUAAACUGAAUAA
Amphiprion ocellaris (clown anemonefish) is the source of this 5587-nucleotide long non-coding RNA. RefSeq lists it as uncharacterized. The record is from RefSeq and is a predicted model, not a curated record. The transcript is spliced from 3 exons. NCBI's taxonomy places the organism in Eukaryota, Metazoa, Chordata, Actinopteri, Pomacentridae.